RNAcentral lists this ribosomal RNA (477 nucleotides) under uncultured Desulfuromonas sp. RNAcentral's name for it is "bacterial SSU rRNA". It matches the Rfam family "Bacterial small subunit ribosomal RNA", at positions 906 to 1382 of the family's 1533-position model. The record is from RNAcentral. Lineage: Bacteria; Pseudomonadati; Thermodesulfobacteriota; Desulfuromonadia; Desulfuromonadales; Desulfuromonadaceae.
GGAAUUGACGGGGCCCGCACAAGCGGUGGAGCAUGUGGUUUAAUUCGACGCAACGCGCAGGACCUUACCUGGGCUUGACAUCCCGAUCGCAUCCCAUGGAAACAUGGGAGUCAGUUCGGCUGGAUCGGUGACAGGUGCUGCAUGGCUGUCGUCAGCUCGUGUCGUGAGAUGUUGGGUUAAGUCCCGCAACGAGCGCAACCCUUGUCCUUAGUUGCCAGCAUUCAGUUGGGCACUCUAAGGAGACUGCCGGUGUUAAACCGGAGGAAGGUGGGGAUGACGUCAAGUCCUCAUGGCCCUUAUGUCCAGGGCUACACACGUGCUACAAUGGGCAGUACAAAGGGCUGCAAGACCGUGAGGUUGAGCGAAUCCCAGAAAGCCGGUCUCAGUUCGGAUUGGAGUCUGCAACUCGACUCCAUGAAGUUGGAAUCGCUAGUAAUCGCGGAUCAGCAUGCCGCGGUGAAUGCGUUCCCGGGCCUU